RNAcentral lists this ribosomal RNA (305 nucleotides) under uncultured bacterium. RNAcentral's name for it is "bacterial SSU rRNA". It matches the Rfam family "Bacterial small subunit ribosomal RNA", at positions 333 to 654 of the family's 1533-position model. The record is from RNAcentral.
UUCGCCCUACGGGACGCAGCAGUGGGGAAUAUUGCACAAUGGGGGGAACCCUGAUGCAGCGACGCCGCGUGGGUGAAGAAGUAUUUCGGUAUGUAAAGCCCUAUCAGCAGGGAAGAAGAAUGACGGUACCUGACUAAGAAGCACCGGCUAAAUACGUGCCAGCAGCCGCGGUAAUACGUAUGGUGCAAGCGUUAUCCGGAUUUACUGGGUGUAAAGGGAGCGCAGGCGGUGCGGCAAGUCUGAUGUGAAAGCCCGGGGCCCAACCCCGGUACUGCAUUGGAAACUGCCGUACUUGAGUGUCGGAG